RNAcentral lists this ribozyme (73 nucleotides) under Crocodylus porosus (Australian saltwater crocodile). Its description in RNAcentral is "Mammalian CPEB3 ribozyme (ENSCPRG00005007348.1)". It matches the Rfam family "Mammalian CPEB3 ribozyme". Rfam says of the family: The mammalian CPEB3 ribozyme is a self cleaving RNA located in the second intron of the CPEB3 gene which belongs to a family of genes regulating messenger RNA polyadenylation. This ribozyme is highly conserved and found only in mammals. There is currently only one other known self cleaving ribozyme in mammals, the CoTC motif. The record is from RNAcentral. Lineage: Eukaryota; Metazoa; Chordata; Crocodylia; Crocodylidae.
AUAAGUUUGAGGCCAUAGCAGAAGUACUCAUGUCGCAGCACUGUCAGAUUUCAGCAGAUCUGUGAAUUCUGCU